UGAGGAAUAUUGGUCAAUGGGCGUAAGCCUGAACCAGCCAUCCCGCGUGCAGGAAGAAGGCGCUAUGCGUCGUAAACUGCUUUUCCAGGGGAAGAAAACCUCUGAUGCAUCGGAGCUUGCCGGUACCCUGGGAAUAAGCAUCGGCUAACUCCGUGCCAGCAGCCGCAGUAAUACGGAGGAUGCAAGCGUUAUCCGGAUUUAUUGGGUUUAAAGGGUGCGUAGGCGGAUUAAUAAGUCAGUGGUGAAAACCUGCAGCUUAACUGUAGAACUGCCAUUGAUACUGUUAGUCUUGAGUACGGUCAAGGUAGGCGGAAUGUGUAAUGUAGCGGUGAAAUGCUUAGAUAUUACACAGAACACCGAUUGCGAAGGCAGCUUACUGGGCCAUUACUGACGCUGAUGCACGAAAGCGUGGGGAGCGAACA
This 422-nucleotide ribosomal RNA is filed under the name uncultured prokaryote. Its description in RNAcentral is "bacterial SSU rRNA". It matches the Rfam family "Bacterial small subunit ribosomal RNA", at positions 355 to 774 of the family's 1533-position model. The record is from RNAcentral.